CCCUAUCACCCUGUUAAAACCCAAGCCUGGGUAGUACUCCUAGUGAGGUGACCGUGAGUCCUAGACUUGAAACAAGACAGCUCCAUGUGGAGCAAGGGCAAGUGUAUUCAGUGCAGUCUCACAGCCUGAAGACAGGGGUUUCACAAUGGAAACUAGAAAACUGAGGAGACCUACGUGAACACAGAAAAGGAGGUGGGAUGGAAAAGGUUUCUGUUGGCUGCCCAAGAAUUAAAUAGUCUUCAAGAUGCAUUAAUAUCACAUUGUAGGAGGAAAGUGGAAUGAUUCUAAUUUACACAGACAAUUCAAUACAGCCUGUCAGGGAGGGAUUUUAGGCAAGAUAGAAAAAUGAGAUAAUGGUGAAAGGGGAGAGAGAACAGAAUGAACCCUGAAUACUGUAGCUGUGAGACAAGGUUUGGAGAAGACACACUCUCCUUGCCAUGUGACCCAUCGGAGCUGACUUAGAGAGAUGAGGAUGGCAGGUGAGUUUGGAGGCCUCUUUAGGGGAAUUACAAAUGCCUCAUUUCUCCAACUGAAACAUCUGAAUUGCUCCCCAUCCCCCGCUAGAGGUGUCAGGAUGGGGCUUUGUGAUGUCAAGGCCCACCCAGGGCCACCAUUGGCUGGGCAGGAGACUUGCUGACCUCAUAAAGCAUGAGGGUGUGUCUCCCUGGGGAGGGGUAUAUAUAGCGGUGCUCAGGGGCUCUGGAGCAGACCACUGGGAGGCCUCAAAAUGACUAAGCGGACUGGGAAGCCCCAAGGCUCCAGAGUAGUUAGGAAACACCUGCCUCCUGUUACCCGGGGCAAAAGGAUGAAGACCUCCUCUCAAUUGAGGGCCAAAACAAAUGUCAAGGUGGCCAAGGCAAGUGCGAGAGUGAAUAAUCACCUACAGGCAAAGCUGACCAAGAAAACUUCUCAGAAACCGCCCACCACGAGGAACCUUAGAAAAAUCGGAGGCUCAAAACUCUGUAGCCAGGGUUCCAAGGUGAAUGAAGAGCUGAAUCAGAACGGACCAGAGGAGGUCCCAGAGAGUGUGGAGAUGCCUGUCAUUCCAGCGGGACCGGUGGGCAGCCAGUGACUUGAAGGUGGCCAAGGCAAGUGCGAGAGUGAAUAAUCACCUACAGGCAAAGCUGACCAAGAAAACUUCUCAGAAACCGCCCACCACGAGGAACCUUAGAAAAAUCGGAGGCUCAAAGCUCUGUAGCCAGGGUUCCAAGGUGAAUGAAGAGCUGAGUCAGAAUGGACCAGAGGAGGUCCCAGAGAGUGUGGAGAUGCCUGUCAUUCCAGCGGGACCGGUGGGCAGCCAGUGACUUGAAGGUAUGGCUAGAGACCUCAGAAAUCUUUGGGGGUCUUGCCACUGAGUACUGGCCAACAGUACAGACAUUGACUAUUAUACCAACUGCAUACAUUAAGAAUGAAAAUAAAAU
Bos taurus (domestic cattle) is the source of this 1421-nucleotide long non-coding RNA. Lineage: Eukaryota; Metazoa; Chordata; Mammalia; Artiodactyla; Bovidae. The record is from Ensembl.